UUGAACGCUGGCGGCAUGCCUUACACAUGCAAGUCGAACGGUAACGGGCCUUCGGGUGCCGACGAGUGGCGAACGGGUGAGUAAUACAUCGGAACGUGCCCGAUCGUGGGGGAUAACGAGGCGAAAGCUUUGCUAAUACCGCAUACGAUCUACGGAUGAAAGCAGGGGACCGCAAGGCCUUGCGCGGACGGAGCGGCCGAUGGCGGAUUAGGUAGUUGGUGGGAUAAAAGCUUACCAAGCCGACGAUCUGUAGCUGGGCUGAGAGGAUGAUCAGCCACACUGGGACUGAGACACGGCCCAGACUCCUACGGGAGGCAGCAGUGGGGAAUUUUGGACAAUGGGCGCAAGCCUGAUCCAGCCAUGCCGCGUGCAGGAUGAAGGCCUUCGGGUUGUAAACUGCUUUUGUACGGAACGAAAAGCCUUCUUUUAAUACAGGAGGGUCAUGACGGUACCGUAAGAAUAAGCACCGGCUAACUACGUG
Molecule: ribosomal RNA, 481 nt
Filed under: uncultured bacterium
Lineage: Bacteria
Description: partial 16S ribosomal RNA
Rfam family: Bacterial small subunit ribosomal RNA
Source: RNAcentral